GUAUUACCGGUUAUCCAUCUAUAGUUCCUUUAGGCAUUGUACGAAUGUUCUCAUCUUCAAGGAGAAUUCAAAUCAGAGGUCAUCGGCAAUGCUAGACCAGGUCACUCAGCGCGGGAUUGUAUUGUGGGGCUCCCAACCUUUGGUUUUGUCAUGUUAGGCACAAUUCAGUUGCUUUUCUAUUCCCCCAAUUUCGUCGUCCUGUGCUCUACAAUUCAAUAAAACAGUCAGUCAACAAGCAAUUGUUUAUUUGGACUGCUUCCUGUCCGGCUGUGAUACAAAUAAGAAGACUAAAGCAAUCCCUAGUGAAGGUGAUUAGGAGAGGGUGGGAGAAGAGAAUAAUUUGGGACUUUGCAGUGUCAACAUGUGCUGCUAAGUUUUUCUUUAAAAUGCAUUUCUCUUUCAUUUCAGUGGUUAAACUCUGCCCUUAAUAUACUGACAUUAAAAUAAACAAGCACCCUUGCCAAAUCAGUUCAUGCAGACCAAGAUCCAGAUGGCCCCCGAGCAAGAAAAGUUGUGCUGCACCCAAAGCACCCAGCCAAGUGCAGGGAAACAGUCUCCUGGCCGGCGGGCAGGAGACAGACAGAGGCAGGCCACUAUUCCUGGCCUCUUCUAGAAACUCACACUUUAGGCGAUGCAACCCAAGAGCCCUGGGAGAUCCCACGGAAGAGCAGAGGCAGAAGUCCUGGUCAGGCUGCAGUGAAGCCUCCAUCACGACAUCCCCGUAUCCUCCCAGAGCAACCCCAACGGAUGUGACUGCACUUCAGCGUUGGCUUCUUUGGGAGCUCCUGCAGACAAAGUUGGCGAGAGAACCGGAAUUGCUUGAUUCUCAACAUGUAAGUAAUUAUCAUCCUGCUUUCAGUUCUGUUCAAAGGGAAAGGCACGCCCCUCCUAUUUUAGAAGUGUACACUAUGGACAGCUCAACUCUAUGGGCUAUAGAAAGUUUCUUAUCUUUUAGCCCUACAGAAAACAUCCCUCUUCCAACGCAAGUCUUGCUCUUCACCGAGGCACUCGUUUCACCAUAAAGGAGAUCGGAAACUAAACCAUUUCCCGGGUUUUACAUUGCUUCUCUUAAGCUGAGUUGCCCCACAAUAUUGAGCGCCAGAAAGGGUCCAUUUCUGGACUGGGUUUCCCCUCUCCUAGCACCCACGUCUGUAAAGAAUCAGAAGC
Molecule: long non-coding RNA, 1167 nt
Filed under: Monodelphis domestica (gray short-tailed opossum)
Lineage: Eukaryota; Metazoa; Chordata; Mammalia; Didelphimorphia; Didelphidae
Description: lncRNA (ENSMODG00000034764.2)
Source: RNAcentral